Non-coding RNA from Paramuricea clavata, 286 nucleotides. The record is from the annotation of a GenBank genome assembly. Lineage: Eukaryota; Metazoa; Cnidaria; Anthozoa; Malacalcyonacea; Plexauridae.
CCUUUGUAUAAAAUCCAUAUUCAAGUCUCGUAUUUUCCCACAUUUCUUAAGGUUUUCAUUUGUUUGUCGUCUUUCACGGGUGCGAAUAACAUGUACGACUGGCAUAUCUUUGUCCAAAUAAUCAAAGGUAGAAAAUUUAUAUCGAAAAAAAUCGAUUCAAAACCGAUUCAAAACCACGAGAACUAUAAUAUCUGCAAAAAUUUUUUUGCAAAAACCAGGGGGGUGAGAAAACGGCCGUGGGCUCAGAAUUGAGCCUGGUCAGUGGUACCUACCAUGAGAAUUUCGG